GGAGAGGUGGGUGAGUGGCUGAAACCAACGGUUUGCUAAACCGUCAUACGGGUGAACGCCUGUAUCGAGGGUUCGAAUCCCUCCCUCUCCG
This 91-nucleotide transfer RNA is filed under the name Planctomycetota bacterium. RNAcentral describes it as "tRNA-Ser". It matches the Rfam family "tRNA". Rfam says of the family: Transfer RNA (tRNA) molecules are approximately 80 nucleotides in length. Their secondary structure includes four short double-helical elements and three loops (D, anti-codon, and T loops). The record is from RNAcentral. RNAcentral also lists the same sequence under 1 other name. Lineage: Bacteria; Pseudomonadati; Planctomycetota.